RNAcentral lists this ribosomal RNA (468 nucleotides) under uncultured bacterium. RNAcentral describes it as "partial 16S ribosomal RNA". It matches the Rfam family "Bacterial small subunit ribosomal RNA", at positions 28 to 507 of the family's 1533-position model. The record is from RNAcentral.
GACGAACGCUGGCGGCGUGCUUAACACAUGCAAGUCGAACGGAAAGGCCCUGCUUUUGUGGGGUGCUCGAGUGGCGAACGGGUGAGUAACACGUGAGUAACCUGCCCUUGACUUUGGGAUAACUUCAGGAAACUGGGGCUAAUACCGGAUAGGAGCUCCUGCUGCAUGGUGGGGGUUGGAAAGUUUCGGCGGGUGGGGAUGGACUCGCGGCUUAUCAGCUUGUUGGUGGGGUAGUGGCUUACCAAGGCUUUGACGGGUAGCCGGCCUGAGAGGGUGACCGGCCACAUUGGGACUGAGAUACGGCCCAGACUCCUACGGGAGGCAGGAGUGGGGAAUAUUGCACAAUGGGCGGAAGCCUGAUGCAGCAACGCCGCGUGCGGGAUGACGGCCUUCGGGUUGUAAACCGCUUUCGCCUGUGACGAAGCGUGAGUGACGGUAAUGGGUAAAGAAGCACCGGCUAACUACGUG